RNAcentral lists this long non-coding RNA (378 nucleotides) under Phoenix dactylifera (date palm). RNAcentral's name for it is "long non-coding RNA (PDAC_LNC000879)". The record is from RNAcentral. Lineage: Eukaryota; Viridiplantae; Streptophyta; Magnoliopsida; Arecales; Arecaceae.
GUCGGAACCCCGACACCAGCCCGCACACCGGACGAGCAGGGAAAGCAUCCGCGUCCUCCCCGAGGUAUUGUCCGCUCUGGGAUUGCCGCUUCGGGUCUGCGGGAGGUCGCCCAGGGCUGUGGCCCAAUGACAGUCCCGAGCCCUGCCGGCGCGGGGGUCCGCGGAGGUUGCCCCCUACCCUCACGGUUUUGUCCCGCAAAAGGGCCCUCGGUGAGAAGAGGUGUUUGCACUCCCCAUUUAAGGCACAGACCUUUCCGCUGAUUAUCCGAUGUGGGACUAAACUGGGAACCCCAUCCCACAACACAGCCCCCCCAGCGGGAAGGUCUGUGCGUGGCCGGGACCCUUCCUCUAGCGCCAUCUGAUGUGGGGUCGGAACCC